This 187-nucleotide ribosomal RNA is filed under the name uncultured Staphylococcus sp. RNAcentral's name for it is "partial 16S ribosomal RNA". It matches the Rfam family "Bacterial small subunit ribosomal RNA", at positions 153 to 334 of the family's 1533-position model. Lineage: Bacteria; Bacillati; Bacillota; Bacilli; Caryophanales; Staphylococcaceae. The record is from RNAcentral.
GAAACCGGGGCUAAUACCGGAUAAUACAUGAAACCGCAUGGUUUCAUGAUGAAAGACGGUUUUGCUGUCACUUAUAGAUGGACCCGCGGCGUAUUAGCUAGUUGGUAAGGUAACGGCUUACCAAGGCAACGAUACGUAGCCGACCUGAGAGGGUGAUCGGCCACACUGGAACUGAGACGCGGUCCAG